Oryza nivara is the source of this 201-nucleotide non-coding RNA. NCBI's taxonomy places the organism in Eukaryota, Viridiplantae, Streptophyta, Magnoliopsida, Poales, Poaceae. The record is from Rfam.
AAAAAGACAAACCUUUCGUGUCCAAUAUUUGACCGUCCGUCUUAUUUAAAAAAAUUAUAAAAAAAUUAAAAAGACAAGUCACGCAUAAAAUAUUAAUCAUGUUUUAUUAUCUAACAAUAAUAAAAAUACGAAUUAUAAAAAAAUUUCAUAUAAGACGGACAGUCAAAAAGUUGGACACGAAAACUCAGGUUUGCCUUUUUU